RNAcentral lists this long non-coding RNA (221 nucleotides) under Brassica napus (rape). RNAcentral describes it as "long non-coding RNA (BNAP_LNC005851)". Lineage: Eukaryota; Viridiplantae; Streptophyta; Magnoliopsida; Brassicales; Brassicaceae. The record is from RNAcentral.
CAACCAAAUAUGUAUUCGCACACGCAUAUGCUAUUCACAACAUUCCAAGGAAUCAAUCAAUCAAACAAGAUUUGGUAUCCCCUAUAUAUUAAAAGAGAAGCAUUACAACAUAUUUUUGUAACCACAUGUCAUCACCACAAUCACUCUUAAAAUUCUUAGAAAAAUAUGUUGGUCCAUAUACAUAUAUAAUAAGUUUUUUAUUAAACUAACCAUAAAUUAAU